UUUCCGUUAGUUUUAAUUCAAAAACGUUAGGUUUUCUUCAUUUUCUUCUGUAAUUUUUCUGGGAUUCUUGUUGUUCAAGGUUGAUGGAGAUGAUAUGAAGAUGAAAAAGAGGAGAAGAAAAUGAAGAACACCUAACAUUUUUGAAUUAAAACUAAUGAAAAUGACCAAAAUGUGUAACAGAGAGAAGUUAAGGGACCAAAAUA
Molecule: long non-coding RNA, 203 nt
Filed under: Medicago truncatula (barrel medic)
Lineage: Eukaryota; Viridiplantae; Streptophyta; Magnoliopsida; Fabales; Fabaceae
Description: long non-coding RNA (MTRU_LNC006634)
Rfam family: MIR5298 microRNA precursor family (bases 27-117)
Source: RNAcentral